CAAAACCUUAUGGUAUACAUAUGUUGACUCGUCAGAGCAGGAACUGGUGGGACUGGUAACAUGAACUAUUUAACCCCGCCCCCCUGAUUUGUUGGGUGUGUCUGUGGAUCCGAACACACAAGCACAGUCGUGACUAGUGAUCCAAUCUGGACCGCAAACUAUUUCAGGUUCUUCUGAUGGUCUAUAAACAACAGAGAUGUUUGUCUUCACCAGAGCUGAUGUGUUUAUAGGUUAAUGGCAGUGGACAUGGAUGAAGACUGCAGGUGCAUCCUCUUUGGAACAGAGUCAUCUGGCGGGCCCCCAAGAAGACGUCAGAAAGCAUUCAUGUGGGAACAGCAUAAUUGUCCAAAUCAAGGCCACACAGUGGCUGCAUGCUCACCAUGUGCUUGCAGCCAUUUUGGGUGAAACUCCAGAGCUGUGAUCAAAUUGCAGACUCUGUACAAAUCCCGUAAAGGGAAAAGCAUGUGCCAAUGUUCAUAGACACAGUCAUAUUUAUUCUCUUUUAUUCUGUUUUGAUAGGAGUUUCAGACUUGGAAAAAGCCAUCUCACCAUUGCCCAAACUUUGUUUAAAUGUCUUCCAGCUGUGAGCUGCCACUCCAUUUCUGAUGUGCAUUGCAUUGUGGGACAAUGGAGUCCAUCAACACCACUCCACAAAUAGUUAAUUAUGCCUACUGGCAUCGACAUGUCUUUGUUGUCUUCUGUUUUCUACUUUUCUUAUGCAUUUCCGCAUUUUAGUGUGGCGAUCUGUUUUUAGCAUUUUGAAACUGAUUUGUUGCUCUUGUUAAAAAGCAGCUUUGCGCUCUGUUAUAGAUCUAGAAUACUGACAGAUGGAGGGAGCUUGUUUUAAGAUUGUCAUGCUCUUUCUUGACAACUUGGUGCUUAUGUCACAGUUGUUGGUUUCACAACAAUAUGCGUUGCAUGUUUUGAUGUCCUCUGUAUUUUUAAAGCGCAUGAUGAAAGGCGCUCUAUGUGCGCUACUUUGCAGACAUUCACAGAACGUGAAAUCAAAGCUUCAAAUUACUGCAGUUAAUCCGUUUCCUGUAAAGUCGCGGGUAUGAGUAACACUUAAAAGGCAUGUGUUUUUUUCGUGUCUACAAACAACUCUUGAAUGGGACUAGUUAAUCCCAUGCAGGUCUCUCACUUUGCCUCACCGGGAUUCAUUGUGAAGACGCUUCUUUGCGCUCUGCCUCUUCUCAACGGGGGACGUUUUGUUGCAGCAGGGAGAACAGAGGAGGACCGGAGUGGCUGCAAAUGUAAUCCUCUGUAGCUAAGAGCUCAUAUUGAGACCAAACUGAUAAGACUGUCUUGGGGCUAACGACAGGCCACAGCAGGCAACCAGCCCAUCCAUUUUGCUGCAAUAAAGCCCGACUUGCGGCCUGGUCCCCUGAGGCUUAAAAGAAAGAGUCGGCCCCUAGACCAGGCAGGCCCUGCUGAGGGUCAGAGCCACUAAAAAGAAACAAAGUUGCUAACAGCGGGAGGUAGGUGACUGCCUGAAUGCCUGGUCAUCUAUUCAUCUUUCAGUUAAUGACACCUGUAACAUGUGCAGCUCGGCCAAGUGUCGUGGCCCCUGAUGGCCAAGGUAAAGAUGAGACGUGAUGGGGCUCCAGGGUUCUAGAGGUGAGGCCAGAAGGCUUAUUGAAGUAGCUGACCCCUGACCCCACGUCUCCAGAGGAGGGUGAGGUGCCUUUCAGCUCCUGGCAGCGUGUGUCCAUAGUCUGACCUAAAACCAAAGUCCAUCAGACACCUCCUUGUGGUGAAUCCAAGGUCCAUUAGGCCCCUCGUCAUGGUGCUUAAAAAGUCAAUCAGGCACCUCCUCAUAGUGAAUCCUGGAUCCCCGGGACCCGGCUCUACUCAGGACAAAAUACAAAGCUCCCGUUGACUGCAUUUCUCUUGUUGAGCAAAGUUAACAUUGUGAUUUUUACUCGAAAAGGGAGAGCUCAACAACUGCUGGCUUAGUCAUCGUGCAAUUUGCGACAGAUAUUAUAGGAGACAUAUACACAUUUAAAGAUUUUAAAUACUUGUAUUUAGGGCUUUCCACCGUAACACGCUCACAUGCUUUGAAAAAGUAUAUAAUUUUUCUUAUAUUGCCUGUUUGAAUGUCCCUGUAUUCACCUUCUCUCUCAAACGUUUUGUUUUAGCGCCUGUUUCUUUAAGACCGCCUUCCCUCCCAAACCAGACCAAUCUUUGCGCGAGUCCAAUGUUAUGUUGACCCAGGUUGAGAAAAAAUAAAUGCACAAACCUACAGCUUUUUCCCAAUUUUUGCCAGUCCAUGGUCUUUGUAUAUAUAAAAUUAAUCCAUUUAGUUCUUGUGCCUUCUAAGCCUGAGACGAAAUGGAGAGAAUUGUGCCGAACCGUGCAGCCAACUACAG
Molecule: long non-coding RNA, 2369 nt
Organism: Gasterosteus aculeatus aculeatus (three-spined stickleback)
Lineage: Eukaryota; Metazoa; Chordata; Actinopteri; Perciformes; Gasterosteidae
Source: Ensembl